AUUCCAGCUCCAAUGGCGUAUAUUAAAGUUGUUGCAGUUAAAAAGCUCGUAGUUGGAUUUCUGGCAGGAGCGACCGGUCGGCCCAUUGUGGUGUGUACUAGUGUUGCAUCUGGCCAUAUUUGUGGAGAGCGUGUGUGGCAUUAAUUUGUCGUGCUCGGGACCCGCAUCGUUUACUGUGAGAAAAUUAGAGUGUUCAAAGCAGGCUUAUGCCUUGGAUAUGUUAGCAUGGAAUAAUAAGAUAAGACUUUGGCGGUCUAUUUUGUUGGUUUGCACGCCAUUGUAAUGAUUGAUAGGGACAGUUGGGGGUAUUCAUAUUUAAUUGUCAGAGGUGAAAUUCUUGGAUUUAUGAAAGAUGAACUACUGCGAAAGCAUUUACCAAGGAUGUUUUCAUUA
RNAcentral lists this ribosomal RNA (393 nucleotides) under Stramenopiles sp. MAST-2D. RNAcentral's name for it is "partial small subunit ribosomal RNA". It matches the Rfam family "Eukaryotic small subunit ribosomal RNA", at positions 582 to 975 of the family's 1831-position model. The record is from RNAcentral.